Molecule: transfer RNA, 74 nt
Filed under: Patescibacteria group bacterium
Lineage: Bacteria
Description: tRNA-Arg
Rfam family: tRNA
About the family: Transfer RNA (tRNA) molecules are approximately 80 nucleotides in length. Their secondary structure includes four short double-helical elements and three loops (D, anti-codon, and T loops).
Source: RNAcentral
GCACCUGUAGCUCAAUUGGAUGGAGCAACGCACUCCUAACGCGUAGGUUAUCGGUUCGAUUCCGAUCAGGUGCG